Molecule: ribosomal RNA, 306 nt
Filed under: uncultured bacterium
Lineage: Bacteria
Description: bacterial SSU rRNA
Rfam family: Bacterial small subunit ribosomal RNA
Source: RNAcentral
GAGUUUGAUCGUGGCUCAGGAUGAACGCUGGCGGCGUGUCUAAUACAUGCAAGUCGAGCGAAUGGAUUAAGAGCUUGCUCUUAUGAAGUUAGCGGCGGACGGGUGAGUAACACGUGGGUAACUUGCCCAUAAGACUGGGAUAACUCCGGGAAACCGGGGCUAAUACCGGAUAACAUUUUGAACCGCAUGGUUCGAAAUUGAAAGGCGGCUUCGGCUGUCACUUAUGGAUGGACCCGCGUCGCAUUAGCUAGUUGGUGAGGUAACGGCUCACCAAGGCAACGAUGCGUAGCCGACCUGAGAGGGUGA